UUAUUUCCAUUUUCCUGAUUGGUAGACUAAGGCUCAGAGAGAGGAGGCGGCAUUACCCAAAGCCGCACAGCUGGUAAAUGGGAAAAGAGGGGUUUAAAGGUACGUGCCCUGGAGGAGGCCAAUGCUGACCUGGAGGUGAAGAUCCAUGACUGGUACCAGAAGCAGACCCCAACCAGCCCAGAAUGCGACUACAGCCAAUACUUCAAGACCAUUGAAGAGCUCCGGGACAAGAUCAUGGCCACCACCAUCGACAACUCCCGGGUCAUCCUGGAGAUCGACAAUGCCAGGCUGGCUGCGGACGACUUCAGGCUCAAGUGCGCUCCCCCGUCUCUCUCCUCUUCCUGCAUUGCCCACUUUACUUGGCCUUCUCCUGGCUCUGACUCAGGCAGCCAAGACCCCUCCCACUUCCUUCUUUGGCCUCCCUCUCCUCAGGUAUGAGAAUGAGCUGGCCCUGCGCCAGGGCGUCGAGGCUGACGUCAACGGCUUGCGCCGAGUCCUGGAUGAGCUGACCCUGGCCAGGACUGACCUGGAGAUGCAGAUCGAGGGCCUGAAUGAGGAGCUAGCCUACCUGAAGAAGAACCACGAGGAGGAGAUGAAGGAGUUCAGCAGCCAGCUGGCCGGCCAGGUCAAUGUGGAGAUGGACGCAGCACCGGGUGUGGACCUGACCCGUGUGCUGGCAGAGAUGAGGGAGCAGUACGAGGCCAUGGCGGAGAAGAACCGCCGGGAUGUCGAGGCCUGGUUCUUCAGCAAGACUGAGGAGCUGAACAAAGAGGUGGCCUCCAACACAGAAAUGAUCCAGACCAGCAAGACGGAGAUCACAGACCUGAGACGCACGAUGCAGGAGCUGGAGAUCGAGCUGCAGUCCCAGCUCAGCAUG
RNAcentral lists this small RNA (877 nucleotides) under Pan troglodytes (chimpanzee). RNAcentral's name for it is "retained intron". The stretch from base 186 to 301 matches the Rfam family "mir-492 microRNA precursor family". Lineage: Eukaryota; Metazoa; Chordata; Mammalia; Primates; Hominidae. The record is from RNAcentral.